UACAGAGGUCUCAAGCGUUGUUCGGAUUCAUUGGGCGUAAAGGGUGCGUAGGCGGCGCGGUAAGUCGGGUGUGAAAUCUUGGAGCUUAACUCCGAAACUGCAUUCGAUACUGCCGUGCUUGAGGACUGGAGAGGAGACUGGAAUUUACGGUGUAGCGGUGAAAUGCGUAGAUAUCGUAAGGAGGACCAGUGGCGAAGGCGGGUCUCUGGACAGUUCCUGACGCUGAGGCGCGAAAGCUAGGGGAGCAAACGGG
This 253-nucleotide ribosomal RNA is filed under the name uncultured bacterium. RNAcentral describes it as "partial 16S ribosomal RNA". It matches the Rfam family "Bacterial small subunit ribosomal RNA", at positions 524 to 776 of the family's 1533-position model. The record is from RNAcentral.